CCCAAAAAAAAACUUUAAUAAAUACAAAGAGGGGAAGCUCCCAGUGCUCCCAGUGCUCCCAGUAAGGGCUGGGGGCUCCCAGUUCCAUUUUGGGGAGAAAAGGGGGAUUUUGAGGGGAAAAAAAGGCGGGAAAACAUGAGGGAAAAAGGCGGCAAAAUGGGAAAAAAGGCGGGAAAACGGAAGAAAAAGGCGGGAAAACGUGAGGGGAAAAAGGGCGGGAAAACGUGAGGGGAAAAAGGCGGGAAAAUGUGAGGGAAAAAAGGCGGGAAAACGUGAGGGGAAAAAGGCGGGAAAACGUGAGGGAAAAAGGCGGGAAAACGUGAG
Molecule: long non-coding RNA, 324 nt
Organism: Poecile atricapillus (Black-capped chickadee)
Lineage: Eukaryota; Metazoa; Chordata; Aves; Passeriformes; Paridae
Exons: 2
Source: RefSeq, a predicted model, not a curated record